RNAcentral lists this ribosomal RNA (466 nucleotides) under uncultured soil bacterium. Its description in RNAcentral is "bacterial SSU rRNA". It matches the Rfam family "Bacterial small subunit ribosomal RNA", at positions 26 to 518 of the family's 1533-position model. The record is from RNAcentral.
AGAACGAACGCUGGCGGCAUGCCUAAUACAUGCAAGUCGAACGAACACUUCGGUGUUAGUGGCGCACGGGUGCGUAACGCGUGGGAAUCUGCCCUUGGGUUCGGAAUAACAGUUGGAAACGACUGCUAAUACCGGAUGAUAUCGAAAGAUCAAAGAUUUAUCGCCCAGGGAUGAGCCCGCGUAGGAUUAGCUAGUUGGUGAGGUAAAGGCUCACCAAGGCGACGAUCCUUAGCUGGUCUGAGAGGAUGAUCAGUCACACUGGAACUGAGACACGGUCCAGACUCCUACGGGAGGCAGCAGUGGGGAAUAUUGGACAAUGGGCGAAAGCCUGAUCCAGCCAUGCCGCGUGUGUGAAGAAGGUCUUCGGAUUGUAAAGCACUUAAGUGGAGAAGGUUGUAACCUAAUACGUGCAACUUUGACGUUACCGACAGAAUAAGCAACCGGCUAACUUCGUGCCAGCAGCCGC